This 1419-nucleotide long non-coding RNA is filed under the name Anas platyrhynchos platyrhynchos (common mallard). RNAcentral describes it as "lncRNA (ENSAPLG00000018865.1)". The record is from RNAcentral. Lineage: Eukaryota; Metazoa; Chordata; Aves; Anseriformes; Anatidae.
GCUGGGAAGAGUAAGAUAGAGGGAUGCAAAAUCAUGAGCUGCAUGGAAAAGGCGAAUAUAUAUAUAUAUGGUCAGAGGAAAGUUCAAUACUCACUACUAGCAGAAGACAAAAAUAAGAAAAAGAAAAGAAUGGUCUGAAGCUAGUAAAAUUAAGCAUGUUUUCAUUCAGUAUAUACUGUGGAAUUCAAUGCCUUAAGAUUUUUAGAAGGUCAACUGUACAAAUGGGUUUAAAACCAGACACUUUUGUGGAAGAAAGUUCCCUCAGCAGCUGUAAAUGCAACCUGUAGCACAGAUUACAGCUAAUGAGAGAAAGUGAACAGGUUUGAGGGACAUACCACUCCAAACACCACUUUGGUCUUUCAAGCAAGAAUUUUAUUUUUCAGUUUAGGGCCACAAGCAUAACCACAUAACCAUUAGUAAACUUUUUGGCUCUUUCACUGCCUGUAAAAUUGACUUAGGUGUUGGUAUCACAGAAUUUCUGAAAUACUGUCCUGUGUCUUUAAAGUAAUUGCCCUCUGCACAAUUAUUCACAGUUUGUUCGUUAACUUAUUUAAGGUGUGUGAAGACAGCCUUUAAUUAGCAAAGGGGCACAGCAGAUGCUUUUCAAAUCCAUUAAACUCUAUGCACCAAAAUCUGCUUCACAACGUUGUGCCAAUGGCCUGGAACUGAAAGUAAAUAAUUUUACAGUGAGUUAUAUUCUUUCUAUUUCAAUUGGCUGAUUAGAUGCACUAAACACUGAAAUGAUCUCCUGGCAAAGGCCAUAUUCUGUUUUUGCUGUCUACUGCUAUCUAACUUAUCUGAAUACAUGCUCAAAGUUUGUAUUUCAUGUAUGUCUGAAAAGCUUAAAAAAUGGUAGUAAUGAAUGUUUCUGCUUUCUUUUAGUCUGCCUUCUCUGACUGUUCAUGCAGAUGGUAAGCCUGCAUUUUAUCACAGUCAGAAGGUGGUUUCUUGUGUCUUUUGACAAGGAGUAUGAGGCUUUGACAAGGAGUAACAACAGCUAUAAGGUUUCCUGGUUUCCUAUCCAAGGCAAAAGGAACAUCUUGGCUUCUCCCAGGGCUGUGGACGGAGAAGGCUUGGAGGAUAAGUUCUUGAAUGCCUGGGACAUUUCAAGGGCGUGCCUAUGAUACUGUGUAAGUACCUUUUAUUCUUUAUACAUUACAUUGAACUGUGAGAUAUGCAUUCCAUAUAUUAGUAUGAGAUGCAAAGUAUUUAAGGGCCUCUUUAUGUCAUGAGCAAAUUCAGUGGCAAAUAAGGGAACCCAGCCUUGCAUUUUCAAAUCUGAGAAUACUGACUGACAAAAUAUAAAAAACUUAUUUACACAAGGCAGUCUCAACUCCGUAUCAUUGCAGGAAGAUGGACUUUGGCAGUCAUCAGGGUGGCUUUUAACCCAAAUGACUCUUUAUCUCUGUUAAAGCCAAG